CUACACUGAAGAAAAUUAUAAACGCAACACUUGUGUUUUUGCCCCCAUUUUUCAUGAGCUGAACUCAAAGAUCUAAGACUUUUUCUAUGCACACAAAAGGCCUAUUUCUCUCAAAUAUUGUUCACAAAUCUGUCUAAAUUUGUGUUAGUGAGCACUUCUCCUUUGUCGAGAUAAUCCAUCCACCUCACAGGUGUGGCAUAUCAAGAUGCUGAUUAGACAGCAUGAUUAUUGCACAGGUGAUAUAGAGAAAUAGGCCUUUUGUGAACAUAGAAAAAGUCUUAGAUCUUUGAGUUCAGCUCAUGAAAAAUGGGGGCAAAAACAAAAGUGUUGCGUUUAUAAUUUUCUUCAGUGUAG
Pelobates cultripes (western spadefoot toad) is the source of this 354-nucleotide non-coding RNA. Lineage: Eukaryota; Metazoa; Chordata; Amphibia; Anura; Pelobatidae. The record is from the annotation of a GenBank genome assembly.